This 494-nucleotide ribosomal RNA is filed under the name uncultured bacterium. Its description in RNAcentral is "partial 16S ribosomal RNA". It matches the Rfam family "Bacterial small subunit ribosomal RNA", at positions 28 to 507 of the family's 1533-position model. The record is from RNAcentral.
GACGAACGCUGGCGGCGCGCUUAACACAUGCAAGUCGAACGGAAAGGCCUGCUUUCCCUUGUGGAUUGCGGGUACUCGAGUGGCGAACGGGUGAGUAACACGUGAGUGAUCUGCCCCCAACUUGGGUAUAAGCCUGGGAAACUGGGUCUAAUUCCCGAUAGGACUGCAGGGUGGUGCCUGUGGUGGAAAACGAUUUUCUAGUGGUUGGGGAUGAGCUCGCGGCCUAUCAGCUUGUUGGUGGGGUAAUGGCCUACCAAGGCGGCGACGGGUAGCCGGCCUGGGAGGGUGGACGGCCACAUUGGGACUGAGAUACGGCCCAGACUCCUACGGGAGGCAGCAGUGGGGAAUAUUGCACAAUGGGAGGAAGCCUGAUGCAGCGACGCCGCGUGGGGGAUGACGGCCUUCGGGUUGUAAACUCCUUUCGACCGCGAGGAAGCCACCUGGUUGGAAGGGUGGUGACGGUAGUGGUAGAAGAAGCACCGGCUAACUACGUG